This 475-nucleotide ribosomal RNA is filed under the name uncultured Acidobacteriota bacterium. Its description in RNAcentral is "bacterial SSU rRNA". It matches the Rfam family "Bacterial small subunit ribosomal RNA", at positions 430 to 896 of the family's 1533-position model. The record is from RNAcentral. Lineage: Bacteria; Pseudomonadati; Acidobacteriota.
CUCCUGUCAGACGGGACGAAGGUGCCGGGGUAAAUAAUCCCGGUACUUGACGGUACUGUCAGAGGAAGCCCCCGGCUAACUCCGUGCCAGCAGCCGCGGUAAUACGGAGGGGGCGAGCGUUAUUCGGAAUUAUUGGGCGUAAAGGGCGCGUAGGCGGCCUGGCAAGUCAAAGGUGAAAUCCCUCGGCUCAACUGAGGAACUGCCUUUGAAACUGCAAGGCUUGAGGCCGGGAGGGGUAGCGGAAUUCCCAGUGUAGCGGUGAAAUGCGUAGAUAUUGGGAGGAACACCAGUGGCGAAGGCGGCUACCUGGACCGGUUCUGACGCUGAUGCGCGAAAGCGUGGGUAGCAAACAGGAUUAGAUACCCUGGUAGUCCACGCUGUAAACGAUGGGUGCUCGGUGUCGCGGGUAUCGACCCCUGCGGUGCCUUAGCCAACGCGUUAAGCACCCCGCCUGGGGAGUACGGUCGCAAGGCUG